This 490-nucleotide ribosomal RNA is filed under the name uncultured bacterium. Its description in RNAcentral is "partial 16S ribosomal RNA". It matches the Rfam family "Bacterial small subunit ribosomal RNA", at positions 30 to 507 of the family's 1533-position model. The record is from RNAcentral.
AUUGAACGCUGGCGGCAGGCCUAACACAUGCAAGUCGAACGGUAACAGGAAGAAGCUUGCUUCUUUGCUGACGAGUGGCGGCCGGGUGAGUAAUGUCUGGGAAACUGCCUGAUGGAGGGGGAUAACUACUGGAAACGGUAGCUAAUACCGCAUAACGUCGCAAGACCAAAGAGGGGGACCUUCGGGCCUCUUGCCAUCGGAUGUGCCCAGAUGGGAUUAGCUAGUAGGUGGGGUAACGGCUCACCUAGGCGACGAUCCCUAGCUGGUCUGAGAGGAUGACCAGCCACACUGGAACUGAGACACGGUCCAGACUCCUACGGGAGGCAGCAGUGGGGAAUAUUGCACAAUGGGCGCAAGCCUGAUGCAGCCAUGCCGCGUGUAUGAAGAAGGCCUUCGGGUUGUAAAGUACUUUCAGCGGGGAGGAAGGGAGUAAAGUUAAUACCUUCGCUCAUUGACGUUACCCGCAGAAGAAGCACCGGCUAACUCCGUG